RNAcentral lists this ribosomal RNA (327 nucleotides) under uncultured eukaryote. RNAcentral's name for it is "partial 18S ribosomal RNA". It matches the Rfam family "Eukaryotic small subunit ribosomal RNA", at positions 1470 to 1796 of the family's 1831-position model. The record is from RNAcentral.
CCCUUAGAUGUUCUGGACCGCACGCGCGCUACACUGAUUCAUGCAACAAGUUUUGUCCUUGGCUGAUAGGCCUGGGUAAUCUUUGAACGUGAAUCGUGAUGGGGAUAGAUGAUUGCAAUUAUUCAUCUUCAACGAGGAAUUCCUAGUAAACGCAAGUCAUCAGCUUGCAUUGAUUACGUCCCUGCCCUUUGUACACACCGCCCGUCGCACCUACCGAUUGAAUGGUCCGGUGAAAUCUUCGGAUCUGAGAGAUGUCUGAUUAAUUUCGGACGCCUUUUGGAAAAGUUGCUUAAACCUUACCAUUUAGAGGAAGGUGAAGUCGUAACA